CCAAUAGCGUAUAUUAAAGUUGUUGCAGUUAAAAAGCUCGUAGUUGAAUUUCAGGCCUGGCUGGACGGUCCGCCCUUCGGGUGAGUACUGUCUGUGGUCGGGUCCUACCUUCUGGCGAAGCGUCAUGGCCUUAACCGGCCGUGGCGGGGAACCAGGACUUUUACUGUGAAAAAAUUAGAGUGUUUAAAGCAGGCGCACGCUUGAAUACAUUAGCAUGGAAUAAUGAAAUAGGACGUUUGAUUCUAUUUUGUUGGUUUCUAGGAUCGACGUAAUGAUUAAUAGGGAUAGUUGGGGGCAUUAGUAUUCAAUUGUCAGAGGUGAAAUUCUUGGAUUUAUUGAAGACUAACUACUGCGAAAGCAUUUGCCAAGGAUGUUUUCAUUAAUCAAGAACGAAAGUUAGGGGAUCGAAGACGAUCAGAUACCGUCGUAGUCUUAACCAUAAACUAUGCCGACUAGGGAUCGGAUGAUGUUGAUUUUAUAAUGACUCAUUCGGCGCCUUACG
This 502-nucleotide ribosomal RNA is filed under the name uncultured Glomeromycotina. Its description in RNAcentral is "partial small subunit ribosomal RNA". It matches the Rfam family "Eukaryotic small subunit ribosomal RNA", at positions 591 to 1092 of the family's 1831-position model. The record is from RNAcentral. Lineage: Eukaryota; Fungi; Glomeromycota.